This 641-nucleotide long non-coding RNA is filed under the name Amphibalanus amphitrite. RNAcentral's name for it is "uncharacterized LOC122391044, transcript variant X3". The record is from RNAcentral. Lineage: Eukaryota; Metazoa; Arthropoda; Thecostraca; Balanomorpha; Balanidae.
GCGGACCUGGUAGAUGUGCGACUCGGUGGUAGCGUCCACCGGGUGACCAGCGCGUGGGAUGAGCACCUUCUCCGCCACCUGUCGGCGAGAAACGGAACCAAUGAUUAGGUGCCGAAUACUGCGGGAGUAUCAAAUGUCCAUCUUAUCACGACUGUAAAUAUGUCAACGGCUUAUGGGCCUGCGUUUCCAUCUGUCAGCGUCACGACGCUUUUACUUUGAAGUGUAAGGCGCGCAGCUUCUGCCUUCCUUGUAAGGAGAGUCCUGGCCUAUGUUGUCGCGGCUUCGGGUGGCAGGAAACCAUGGACGAGUAUACCUGUUCGAAGUGGUGCCCGCCGGGUCGGUCUUGCAGGUCCAGCGACUGUCCGAAAUAUUACCGGGGAUUCUGCUGCCGUGCCUGAGAUCAUGCCCUGACCAUCCCCGUCUCGCUGGACCGGUGGAUGACCUGCCUUGUGACAAAAAAAGAAGAAGUAGGAGACGGCCUGGUUAACUAACCAAAUCAUCGUAAUGCCUUUAAAACUUAGCGUUUUCUUACUAUUUCGGCUGUUAUGUCUUGUUACGUUAGUAUUAAAUCAUUAAUUUUGCUAUCCAUAUGUCUAAAAGGGAGAAAUGAAAGUGCGGCCCCAAUAAAUUGGAUCAACGUG